This 505-nucleotide ribosomal RNA is filed under the name uncultured bacterium. Its description in RNAcentral is "partial 16S ribosomal RNA". It matches the Rfam family "Bacterial small subunit ribosomal RNA", at positions 28 to 507 of the family's 1533-position model. The record is from RNAcentral.
GACGAACGCUGGCGGCGUGCCUAAUACAUGCAAGUAGAACGCACAGUUUAUACCGUAGCUUGCUACACCAUAGACUGUGAGUUGCGAACGGGUGAGUAACGCGUAGGUAACCUGCCUGGUAGCGGGGGAUAACUAUUGGAAACGAUAGCUAAUACCGCAUAAUAUUGAUUAUUGCAUGAUAAUUGAUUGAAAGAUGCUAUUGCAUCACUACCAGAUGGACCUGCGUUGUAUUAGCUAGUAGGUGAGGUAACGGCUCACCUAGGCGACGAUACAUAGCCGACCUGAGAGGGUGAUCGGCCAACCUGGGACUGAGACACGGCCCAGACUCCUACGGGAGGCAGCAGUAGGGAAUCUUCGGCAAUGGACGAAAGUCUGACCGAGCAACGCCGCGUGAGUGAAGAAGGUUUUCGGAUCGUAAAGCUCUGUUGUAAGAGAAGAACGGGUGUGAGAGUGGAAAGUUCACACUGUGACGGUAUCUUACCAGAAAGGGACGGCUAACUACGUG